GACGAACGCUGGCGGCGUGCCUAAUACAUGCAAGUCGAACGCAGUGGGGACGGGUGAGUAACACGUGGGUAACCUCCCAUCAGAGGGGAUAACACUUGGAAAUAGGUGCUAAACCGAUACUGAUGGAUGGACCCGCGGUGCAUUCGCUAGUUGGUGAGGUAACGGCUCACCAAGGCCACGAUGCAUAGCCGGCCUGGGAGGGAGAGCGGACACACUGGGACUGCAACACGGUCCAGACUCCUACGUGAGGCAGCAGGAGGGGAUCUUCGGCAAUGGACGAAAGUCUGACCGAGCAGCGCCGCGUGAGUGAAGAAUGUUUUCGGAUCGUAAAGCUCUGUUGUUAGAGAAGCGGUAUCUAACCAGAAAGCCACGGCUAACUAGGUGCCAGCAGCCGCGGUAAUUC
This 403-nucleotide ribosomal RNA is filed under the name uncultured bacterium. RNAcentral's name for it is "partial 16S ribosomal RNA". It matches the Rfam family "Bacterial small subunit ribosomal RNA", at positions 28 to 526 of the family's 1533-position model. The record is from RNAcentral.